GUGCUCUCUUUAGCAGCAGCACAUAGGCUAAAACUGGAACAAUUCAAAGAACAGCUUGGCCCCUGUACGAGGAUGACACACAAAUUUAUGAAGUAUCCCAUUAAAAA
Small nuclear RNA from Ailuropoda melanoleuca (giant panda), 107 nucleotides. NCBI's taxonomy places the organism in Eukaryota, Metazoa, Chordata, Mammalia, Carnivora, Ursidae. The record is from Ensembl.